GCCCCAGACUCCUACGGGAGGCAGCAGUGAGGAAUAUUGGUCAAUGGGCUUACGCCUGAACCAGCCAAGUCGCGUGAGGGAAGACUGCCCUAUGGGUUGUAAACCUCUUUUGUCAGGGAGCAACGCCGGCUACGUGUAGCCGGACUGAGAGUACCUGAAGAAAAAGCAUCGGCUAACUCCGUGCCAGCAGCCGCGGUAAUACGGAGGAUGCGAGCGUUAUCCGGAUUUACUGGGUGUAAAGGGAGCGUAGACGGCGCUGCAAGUCCGGAGUGAAAGCCCAUGGCUUAACCAUGGUACUGCUCUGGAAACUGUGGAGCUUGAGUGCGGGAGGGGCAGGCGGAAUUCCUAGUGUAGCGGUGAAAUGCGUAGAUAUUAGGAGGAACACCGGCGGCGAAGGCGGCCUGCUGGACCGUAACUGACGUUGAGGCUCGAAAGCGUGGGGAGCAAACAGGAUUAGAUACCCGCGUA
Molecule: ribosomal RNA, 468 nt
Filed under: uncultured bacterium
Lineage: Bacteria
Description: bacterial SSU rRNA
Rfam family: Bacterial small subunit ribosomal RNA
Source: RNAcentral